GUUCAUACUGAGUAAUGUCGUAUCAUAUUGAUAUCUUGAAAUUGAAUAUGGUGGAAUAUUUACAGCAUGGAAAUUGGCAAAUGAUACAAGCUACAAAUGCACCCCCUUCCCCACCCCAGCCAUUUGUUAAACAUUUAUCAGCACACCACUGCUUAAGGACUAAGAGUUCUGAAUAGCCAUCACUGGAUCUUUACUCAUGAAGGAAAAUAAUCUGGUGAGGCUCUCCUGAACUAGCAAACACUUCGAAUAUGAUGGACUACUGCGUCUGCCACAUCCUGCCAGACAGCUCUGACUGCAGUUGAUUGCCAUACUCCUUCACCUUAAUAAGAAAACUACUGAAAAGAGCAGAAAAUGGCCCAGCUCCUGCAUCUCUCAUGCAAAACAUCUGUCAGCACCUCUGGGUAUCUUUCCCACUCCUGCUCCUGUAAAUUUUGCUAGUCAUUCUAUAGAGUAGAUGAAUACCACCUGGCUGGUAGCAAGGACAAAUAGAAUGGUAUGGACUGAAGGCCCUCAGGCAGUCCCUCCGUAAAUAAAAACUAGGCUCAGUUA
Molecule: long non-coding RNA, 549 nt
Organism: Pan troglodytes (chimpanzee)
Lineage: Eukaryota; Metazoa; Chordata; Mammalia; Primates; Hominidae
Exons: 2
Source: RefSeq, a predicted model, not a curated record